AUAAAGCACUUCACUUACUAAUUUGUAGUGAAGUGCAUGCAAAGAGGAUGAGAGAGCGCGAAAUUCAAUCGCUUUUGCUAUAUAUAUCAUAUGUCGGUAGCGAUCCGAGCAACUAUUCUAUGCUUGUGAGAGAAACAGUUGCAAAACCAUGAAAUAUGUGACCAAAUAUUAAACUUUCGAGAGAAAAUGUUUAAUUAUGUGAAGUAAUCCGUUUAUUAUACUUUAAACUGCCACUUCUCAGCUUAUUCAUCUCCACAUAUUUUCUCAUUUACUCUAUAAUUACAAAGCGCACAGCGUACAGCAGAUAGUACUUAAAUCCUUUGGCAGUUAAUAGACGUGUGUAGGUAUUUUAUUGAGCCCACAAACAACAAAAGCAAGAAAAGCUAAAGUCGAAGGAGAAGGCGAUAAAUUAAAUUGCAUUUAGUGCAAUUUCAAAUGCCUUUCUAGCACAUUAUUACUCGUUCAACAAUUAUCAAACCAUUUUACCACUUAGUGUCUAAGAGUAAAAGCCAAGUAAGCUGUAAGAAACCCACACACACACAUACCUGUAGAGGAGAGUGGGUGAGCUUAGAAGCAAAUAUAUUUCUAAUAGCAUUGCCGGACAAGAGAAUUAAGGCGCAAAAAAUCCUAUCAAGAGGAGAAACACACAAGAGCAAAAAAAAAGGAUAAUGAAAUACCAAGCGCGCGCACACACACAGAACAAUAUAUACAUACAUAUACACGCAGAAGAAUAUACACAGAUAGAAGAAUAUAAUCCAUAGAGGAUAUAUCUACUCAUAGAAGACUAUACAUACUCACAGAAGACCAUACACACACACAUACAAAAAAUAGUUCACACACAAACACAGCGACUCCCCCACACAAGGCCAAGCGCUGAGCGAAUGCUUAAGUAUGUUGGAAGAAAGCCGAGUAGCAAUUACAAUUACAUUAGUGCGACUGAUAAAAACUUUAACCAGCAACCACUCGACAAUGAUAAGACCAUAGAAGUAAGGGCAGUGCGGAGAGGUGGGCAACCACUACCUAGACGUAGCGGUUUGUAGGCGAACUAAUAAAUUCUUAACUCGCUGCGGCGGCCGGCAUCUAUGGCUGUGGCUAAGUAAGGAAUUUCCUGCCUUUAACUUUAUUUGCUUCGAUUACACUUGCUUGUGGCUUCGCAAUAAAAAUUCACCCCGAAAAGCUAUCGAGCAAUUUAGCUACAACAACAAUUCAACGAAUGUUGGUGAGCAAAAGCCACUAGCGGGUAGCCGGAGUAGCAGUUGAAAGGAAAUACGGGGGCGUUGGAGCAUUGUAUCCCUAAUUUUCGUAAACCUUUAACGCAACCACGAACACACACACACACACACACACACAUAGAUGUAGCUAGACAUAGACAAAUAGACGCAGUGAUAGAAGAACCUGAGGUGUGUAUUUGUGCUUAAGACCGACAAUAAUACUUUUUACAACACAGCCUUGCUGCGGGAAAUCGCACUUAUUACAAUGAAUUAAAGCAACAACACCAGCAAAACAACCAAAAAAAGCUUUCGCAGUAAGUUGAGGGGAAAGCAUAGUCGGCUUUCAGGCGCCUACGCUAAGCAACAGGAUAGCAAUAACAAACAAGAUAGCAAUAACAAGUAGUAAGAAAGCAACAACAACAGCAAAAAACCAAGCCAGGCAACAAUGACCAUUAGUGGCUGCUCGCGCCGACAAAUACAAAUCUUAAUUAAGCAGUCUCAGUUGCAGCUUGCAAACUCUGCGCCGAGCAGCGAACAGCGAGCGCAUGCCAAGUUAGUUUAACCGCCCGCCCGUCCAGCCAACUGUCCGUCAGUUUAUGUAUUUAUUUUCUGACUUUGCGUUCACUUUGUUGCCAUUUCGUUGCUGCCGCCCCCCUCUGCAGCAACUGCAGCCGCUGUCUGUUCUCAAGAGUUUUCGCUGAGCUUUCAAGUUGCCACACAAAAGGCGCUAAGCCGUACUCAACUUGAUGGCCUCACCGAACAUAAUACACCAAUCCACCACCAGUUGAUGUGCGCGAGUGGUGUGAGUUGGAUGGAAUUGCUGUUGUCAAAUUUAAUGAGGGUUUACGCAGCAAUCGGACAAAUGUGGAACAUCUUCCUUUGCUUCAGCAGAAAAAAUAACAGUAAAAUAACUAAAUGAAAAACGCGCUCUGGUAUUUCGCAUAAAGUAAACCAUUUUACUUUUUAAGCGCCCAAAUAUUUCUGAUGUACCGCCAGCAUAUGUGUGCGGCUUUCGGUGCAAGUGUACCCAAAUGGUGUUGUUAUUUGAUAUAUUUUUGAAUAUAUGGUAAAUAAUUCGUAUAAUUUUGGUACUCACAAAAGUAAUUUUUAUAUAUUUUUUUAACUUUUUUAGCAGAGCAGAAGUGGGUAGUUCUUAAGAUUUCCGUAGAAACAUAGAAUACGGAAGGGAGAAAAUUCGCAAAGCACAAGCUAUAUAACAGAAAACAUAAAAAACCCAAAAACAUGGAAAACGUGGAAAACAUAGAACGCUAAAACAUAGAACAUCGAAAAACAUAGAAUGUGCCAAAAUAUGAAGCGCUAUAGGAAAAUGCAUAUUGUUCUUGACUAUGUGUUUUCCUUUGCUGUUUAAGGAGCAGACAGUGGAACAUGCGAAUGAGAUCAUAAGAAAAUUCGACAAGUACAGACCUUAUAACGAAAUAGUGUAACAAAAACAUAUGACAUAAGAAACAUAGAAAACAUAGAACGCUAAAACAUAGAACAUCGAAAAACAUAGAAUGUGCGAAAAUAUGAAAAUUAAAUGUUCUUGACUAUGUGUUUUCCUCUGCUGUUUAAGAAGCAGUGCUGCUUAUGAAAUUAUAGGAAAACAUCUGGUUUUAGUUACGCUUAAUUCGUUGAAAACGGUUUUCAGUUUUAUUAAAAACUUUAAGUAAACCUAAAAAUAUUUACGACUUAUCGAAAAGAAUUGCUAUUGAAAGAACAAAUACACACUUCCUGUUGUCUAGACUAGCUAACUGUCUACCUUGCGCUGCUGAUGAAAGUUUAAAAGUAUCAGCUUACGUACUACGAAAACGGAUUCACGAUUCUAGAAAUUAUUCGAGGGUCCGCGUAAAACAUUUUUGUUAACUAAAAUUAUUAUAUGAGUAAAAGGCUCUUAAGGCGACUUAAACAACUUAAAUUAUUUUUCCAGAAAAUUUCCGAUCUGAAAACAAUCAAGAGAUAAUUUACGAGCAUUUUUAAAAGAAGAGAUAGCAUAGAUUCUCAGUAGCUAUUCGGCACUACUCCAAGAAAUGGCUUUCUUCGUUGAAAGAACCUCUAACUAAGCACUUGCCAAUCCUACUAGCAUACAUACUUAUAACCCUCCGCAGCGAUUAAAAUGCCUACCAACUACAUACACACAUAAGAAUACACUUCAGCACAUUGACUUGCUUGACCUCACGCACACAUACGCAUAAAAUUUUAUUUUGCCACUAUUAACUUCACCUAACGAACAUGCAUACUUUAAGGCGUUAAACAGCGCACAUAACCACAAGUACCCAGCAGAGCUACGGCGACUUCGGGUCAACAACGCCAGUCAAAUGCUGUAAUAAACUUCUCAACGACAGUAAUUAUUUUUGCAGCUAAAUUGCGUACGCUCCGAUAAAACAAAUACACGCAUACACACUAGUAAACACUCGUACACAUGCAAACAUGGAUAGACAUGUGGUAUGAGUAGAUAUGGGUUGUGUGUGUGUGUGUAACAAGUUAUGCAAUGUAAUUAUUGCUUACACUCGCUUAUUGUUGUUGGCAGUAAAAUUAACAAUUUACGUGGAAAAUAAAGUGAUUACGCUGACCCGAAAGUGACCCGCCAGCGAGCUAAGACAAAACAAGUGGCGAGUGUGAGGCAUAAUAAAGGUUACAGGGAGUUGGAGUAAAAGUGUUGCUGAUUAUUAAGCAAUUAAGUUGUUGUAGUGGUGAUAGGGUGGGUCAGCGGUUUAAGCAUUAUUUGUGAGUUUAUGUGUACGUUGUUAGAAGCAGGCUAAACUAGAACGUUAAUUUCGGUUGCACUGAAGCUAGAAUACCCUUAAUAAAUAAAAAGACAGUGGAUAGUUAAUUUUGAAUGUUCCGUUUGUAUGGCAGCUAUAAGAUAAAGUGGUCUGAUCUAGACAAUAUCCUUGGAGAUUUUAACUUUUACUUGGAGAAUAAACCACACCAAAGUUUGUGCAGAUAUCUCGUCAAAUCAAAAACUUUUCCAUACAAGGACUUGAUUUUGAACGUUCAGUUUGUAUGACAGCUAUAUGCUAUAGUGGUCCGAUCUGAAAAAUCUCUUUAGUUUUCUUUUCAUUUCACUUGGCAAAUAAGCCGCACCAAAUUUAGUGCAGAUAUCUCGUCAAAUCAAAAACUUUUCCAUACAAGGUCUUGAGUUUGAUCAGUCAAUUAUACCUUUUACUUGGAGAAUAAACCACACCUAAGUUUGUGCAGAUAUCUCGUCAAAUCAAAAACUUUUCCAUACAAGGACUUGAUUUUGAACGUUCAGUUUGUAUGACAGCUAUAUGCUAUAGUGGUCCGAUCUGAAAGAUUUCUUCGGAGGUUAUACCCUAGCCAGAAAGCAUAAUCCAUGCCAAAUUUCUAGAAGACAUCUCAUCAAAUAAAAAAUUUUUCCAUACAAGGACUUAAUUUUCAUCGUUUAGUUUGUAUGGCAGCUGUAUGCUAUAGUAGUUGUAUAUCGGUGAUGCCGACUUAGCUCGUCAUGCUGAUAUAUUGUAUAUAUAUGUAUAGUGUUUCAUUGGAGUUCCGACGUUUCCUUCAGUUGUAACAAAUUUCGUAGCAAACUUAUAUUCCCUGUUUAAGGUAUAAAAAUUCACUUGCCUUAGUGUGAGAGAAUGAGAGUGUGUGCACUAAUGAGCGACCAAGAUAAUUCAAAAUAACUAAAAUAAAGUAACAUUACAUUUAAUUUAACGCCAGACAAUUUUAAGUUGACAAAACCGCAAGUGGAUUUUAUACACACAUACAUAUACAUAUAUGUGUGUGUGUGAAUGUGCUUAGCACAUGUAUUAUUAAAAAUUAAUUUCCCACAGCACAAGGAUCUGCUAAUAAUGAAAAUAGGCAGCAGAGUGUGAAAAGUUUGUAAUAUGUGCGAGUGUUAUUCAUUAUUUUUUAAUGCAGGCUUUAUUAUGUGGCUAUUUUGAUAUCAAACUUAAUUAAGAAAAUUCACACCAACACACAGAGAAUGCAAGAGGAGAGAGUUAUUUGUAUUUAAUUAGAGAUAACGUGCCUUUGUGCCGAAUAUGAAGCAUUACAAAAGAGUCGCACGAAAAUAGAGCAAAUGAAAAGCAGUUAUAAAUACUUAAAAAUAUAUAUUUAUGUAAUAUACACCUCUGUAAUGUACGUAUCUAUGUUCGUUUAUCACACUCGCAAUUAGCUCGUUGACCACAUGCAUAAUUCGUUUAUUAAAAACAGAAAUUGACAAAUCAUUUCUACUAUAACCGGGCGAUUUUCUAAGCAUGCAUUUUGCAAACAAAUCAAAAUGUCAGUAAAUAUAUUCAAUUGUGGUCGGAAAUAAUAAUUGAAAAUGUUGUGAAAAAACAACAACAACACGCGAGCACACGAAUGUCGGUGAGCAUGUGUCAAUAUUUGUACAAAAUGGACACGAAAAGUGGACACAAAUAGACAGCAACAAGCAUAUUUGCACGCAGACACACCGAAGCACAUACAUACAUAUGUAUAUAUAUGUAGUUGCAUUUGUGUUUGUUAAUUUAAUUAAACUUGUAUGCAUUUAUUAUUUGUUUUCUAUUUUACUUGCUGCAAAGAAUUUACAAAAGUAAUUAAGCAAAUAGAGAGCCAACACAAGCGAAAAGAAAACAUGUGUACAGACAUAUAUGUAUAUAUAUUGUAAAAUAUAUAAGCAAAAAAAUUUAAAAUCUGCAUGGCAAAACACUACAAUAGCAACAGAAAGAAAGCAAGACAACCAAACACACACAUUUUGUGAUUUUGUGGGCAACAGAGCAGAAAGGCGAAGAGCAGCAAACAAAUAGAGUAAUGAAAUUACACAGUGAUUACAAAAAAAAAAAAUAAAUAAUAAUAAUGGAAAAUAAAUAAUAGAAAUUAAAUAAUACAAACUAAGCAACAUUUGCAAAAGAGAUGCCAAACAAAUGAGUUAAAAGGCAUUCUGAGUAAUUAAUAAUAGCAGAGAACAAACAAAAGUACCCAAAAACACUACACAGUGGAAAGAAAAUGAAACAAUAAUUUGAUAGAAA
This is a long non-coding RNA of Bactrocera neohumeralis, 6184 nucleotides long. RefSeq lists it as uncharacterized. The transcript is spliced from 2 exons. The record is from RefSeq and is a predicted model, not a curated record. NCBI's taxonomy places the organism in Eukaryota, Metazoa, Arthropoda, Insecta, Diptera, Tephritidae.